CCUACGGGUGGCAGCAGUCGAGAAUCAUUCACAAUGGGGGAAACCCUGAUGGUGCGACGCCGCGUGGGGGAAUGCAGGUCUUCGGAUUGUAAACCCCUGUCAUGUGGGAGCAAAUUAAAAAGAUAGUACCACAAGAGGAAGAGCCGGCUAACUCUGUGCCAGCAGCCGCGGUAAUACAGAGGUCUCAAGCGUUGUUCGGAAUCACUGGGCGUAAAGCGUGCGUAGGCUGUUUCGUAAGUCGUGUGUGAAAGGCGCGGGCUCAACCCGCGGAGGGCAGCUGAUACUGCGAUACUAGAGUAAUGGAGAGGGAAGCGGAAUGCGCGGUGUAGCAGUGAAAUGCGUAGAUAUCGAGAAGAACACUCGUGGCGAAGGCAGGUUCCUGGACAUUAACUGACGCUGAGGCACGAAGGUCAGGGGAGCGAAAGGGAUUAGAUACCCGUGUAGUC
Molecule: ribosomal RNA, 446 nt
Filed under: uncultured bacterium
Lineage: Bacteria
Description: partial 16S ribosomal RNA
Rfam family: Bacterial small subunit ribosomal RNA
Source: RNAcentral